This 482-nucleotide long non-coding RNA is filed under the name Sorghum bicolor (sorghum). RNAcentral describes it as "long non-coding RNA (SBIC_LNC006117)". Lineage: Eukaryota; Viridiplantae; Streptophyta; Magnoliopsida; Poales; Poaceae. The record is from RNAcentral.
AUCCACAGUGUUCGUGUCAUCGAAGCUUGGACCCUUAACAUCCUCUUCCACCGGCUCUGAUUCAUCAUUCAAGCUCUUGCUCCUUGCGUCUCCAUUGACAUGCUCCAAUUCGACUAUAUUGUUGUUUAUGGCAUCCACAGCCUCAGAUUCAUUCAAGCUCUUGCUCCUUGCAUCUUCAUUCACCGCAUCCAUUUCAUCUAUAUUGUUGUCCGUGCCAUCCGGAUCCACAUCCACAGCCUCAGAUUCAUCCAAGCUCUUGGUCCUUGCAUCUUGAUUGACCAUCUCCGUUUCGUCAAUAUUGUUGUCCAUGGCAUCUGGAUCCACAUCCACAGCCUCAGAUUCAUUCAAGCUCUUGCUCCUUGCAUCUUCACUGACUGCCUCCAUUUCAUCUAUAUUGUUGUCCAUGGCAUCCAGAUCCACAGCCACAGCCUCACAUUCAUUCGAGCUCUUGAUUGUUGAAAAUUCCUCGACCACCUCUAGUU